CUUACGGCCAUAUCACGUUGAAACACAGUUUCUCGUAAGAUCAACGAAGUUAAGCAACGUCGAGCCUGGUAAAUAUCAAGAUAGGUGACCGCUUGAGAAUAUCAGGUGAAGU
This is a non-coding RNA of Acanthosepion pharaonis, 112 nucleotides long. The record is from the annotation of a GenBank genome assembly. NCBI's taxonomy places the organism in Eukaryota, Metazoa, Mollusca, Cephalopoda, Sepiida, Sepiidae.